AUCUGAGUGCAGGAAAGAAGUAACAGAGGAUAAUAGUGUCUUUUCCAGAGGAUAGAGUUAAAUUAUUAAAUUACUCCCUGUAGGAAAUAAAAUUGAGUGUAUUAAUAUAUUACAUUACAUUACGAGUUUUGCUUAGUAAGACACAAAACAGGACUCGUGUUGGGAGGAAAGGGUUAAAAGUGGAAGAAUAUCGAGGAGGAUUCUCUCAAGUGACCUUGCAGCUGGGAAUGCCAAGUCCUGGAGAAGAAAAUUGUGGGAAACCCCACAGAUUAUGCCUACUGCUGUUUAUCCUCUGACUGUUUUGAGAAGCAGAAUCUCUUUGUAGAGAUAACACAGGUGUUCAAAGAGCCUUGGAGGCCCUCUCAUGGACAUGCUUGAGCUCCCUGUUUUGACAGACAGACCAUCAAAGCUCAGAGAUCAUAAAAAACACAGGGGAGACCAUAGCAUGAUGGUAAACCUAAAUGCCCCUAAUAAAUGGGUGCCAACUGCAGGCUCACCAGCUGCACAGACUGGCCUAACAGUGCCUACAUUCCUGCCUAGGUGUUGCUUUGGGAUCCUGCAGGUAGCAAGGUAAUGAACUAAGUGUACUCUUUGUAUUUCAGCCAUAGUUCUGUGGUCCUUCCAGCGGCCUGCCUGUGUUGACUCACACAACUCCUACUGCUAGCUCAGAAGAGUGAAAUUCCAAGAGCAACUUCUCAUCAGUUACUCAGGGCCACAGUCCUGUGUUACCUCAGACCAGCAGCCACUCCCAACCAAGCACUGUACACCUGCACAGUGUGGAACAGAGUCUUCAUUUUUGGCAGUAACUUCCUGACUCACCUGUGCCAGAACUCACGCUUCGGCCACGUUGUCUUCCAGCCACGCUCCUUCCUAGCCAGGGCCAUCUGCUCCAAGUUCCGAGGAUUUCUAUUAGUGAAGUUUGGGGCAACAACCUCAUUUUCACUUGUAUCCACUUCAGUCUCAGUUUUGACACUGGCUG
Long non-coding RNA from Passer domesticus (house sparrow), 979 nucleotides. RefSeq lists it as uncharacterized. The transcript is spliced from 2 exons. The record is from RefSeq and is a predicted model, not a curated record. NCBI's taxonomy places the organism in Eukaryota, Metazoa, Chordata, Aves, Passeriformes, Passeridae.